This is a long non-coding RNA of Raphanus sativus (radish), 807 nucleotides long. RefSeq lists it as uncharacterized. The record is from RefSeq and is a predicted model, not a curated record. The transcript is spliced from 2 exons. Lineage: Eukaryota; Viridiplantae; Streptophyta; Magnoliopsida; Brassicales; Brassicaceae.
UGAUUGAUUUUGAUCCAAUGGCUCAAAAUUACUCUUUAGUGAUCUUCCCCCUUAUUUCUUAUUGGUCAAUUAUUCAAAGUUUAGAUUAGUAUCUCUGACAAUUGAUUACAUGUAAUCCAAUGGUUAAAAAUCAAUCCUUUUUCUUUUCUCUUCUUCUGUACUUAUCGAUAUUUUUUUUUCACAAGUCUGACUUCUCAGUUUCACAAUUCUCAUCUCUCACUAUCUCUUUCUCGCACACACACGAUUCAUCAUCUCACAUAUGCUUUCUCUGUAUCACUCUUCACACACACGAUCUGUCUACACUCACCGGUGCUUGUGAGCAGAGAUACCACGACGAAUCGUCGCAUUGACCGGUUUUGAUUCCCGUUAAUUUUUUUUUUUGAGAUUUUGUAACAGAGAAACAGAUCCUGUCUUUCCAGAUUCAGAGAUGGGGAGUGAUUAACAGAGAUAGAGAAGACAGAACGCAGGAGAUAGAUGAAAAGGGUGACGGCGGUGGCCUGAGCUUUUCUCCGCUGAGAAAGAGAAGACAGGGGAAGAAGAAGACAGUAUUGGUCAUGGGCUUGUGGCGAGGAGGCGACAGAGAAUCUGGUGGUCGCGAGCAGAGUGGUGAUUGAGUGCGGUGGAGGAAUAUGAAGAAGCCUUGACGGCGGCGUUAAGAAAAAGAGGUUUAGGUUUAGUUUAGGUUUAUGUUUAGGUUUAGGUUUAAGUUUGGUUUAGUUUUGAUUUAAUAUUUUUUUGUAAACCAAUUUAAUUAUAAAUCAUUUUAUUUAAUAAAAAAUUAAAUAUAUAAACGAGUUUAAAUUUUAA